CCUACGGGUGGCAGCAGUGGGGAAUAUUGCACAAUGGGGGAAACCCUGAUGCAGCGACGCCGCGUGAGUGAAGAAGUAUUUCGGUAUGUAAAGCUCUAUCAGCAGGGAAGAAAUAGCGACCUUUGGGUCGCCAGACGGUACCUGAUUAAGAAGCCCCGGCUAACUACGUGCCAGCCGCCGCGGUAAUACGUAGGGGGCAAGCGUUAUCCGGAUUUACUGGGUGGAAAGGGAGCGUAGAUGGCAGCGCAAGUCUGAAGUGAAAUGCCGGGGCUUAACCCCGGAACUGCGUUGGAAACUGUGCAGCUAGAGUGCAGGAGAGGUAAGUGGAAUUCCUAGUGUAGCGGUGAAAUGCGUAGAUAUUAGGAGGAACACCAGUGGCGAAGGCGGCUUACUGGACUGUAACUGACGUUGAGGCUCGAAAGCGUGGGGAGCAAACAGGAGUAGAUACCCGUGUAGUC
Molecule: ribosomal RNA, 458 nt
Filed under: uncultured bacterium
Lineage: Bacteria
Description: partial 16S ribosomal RNA
Rfam family: Bacterial small subunit ribosomal RNA
Source: RNAcentral